GAUGAACGCUGGCGGCGUGCCUAAUACAUGCAAGUCGAGCGAACGGACGAGAAGCUUGCUUCUCUGAUGUUAGCGGCGGACGGGUGAGUAACACGUGGAUCACCUACCUAUCAGACUGGGAUAACUUCGGGAAACCGGAGCUAAUACCGGAUAAUAUUUUGAACCGCAUGGUUCAAAAGUGAAAGACGGUCUUGCUGUCACUUAUAGAUGGAUCCGCGCUGCAUUAGCUAGUUGGUAAGGUAACGGCUUACCAAGGCAACGAUGCAUAGCCGACCUGAGAGGGUGAUCGGCCACACUGGAGCGGAGACGCGGUCCAGACUCCUACGGGAGGCAGCAGAAGGGAAUCUGCCGCAAUGGGCGAAAGCCUGACGGAGCGACGCGGCGUGAGUGAUGAAGGUCUUCGGAUCGUAAAACUCUGUUAUUAGGGAAGAACAUAUGUGUAAGUAACUGUGCACAGCUUGACGGUACCGAAUCAGAAAGCCACGGCUAACUACGUG
This 497-nucleotide ribosomal RNA is filed under the name uncultured bacterium. Its description in RNAcentral is "partial 16S ribosomal RNA". It matches the Rfam family "Bacterial small subunit ribosomal RNA", at positions 28 to 507 of the family's 1533-position model. The record is from RNAcentral.